Molecule: ribosomal RNA, 1377 nt
Filed under: Allocreadium khankaiense
Lineage: Eukaryota; Metazoa; Platyhelminthes; Trematoda; Plagiorchiida; Allocreadiidae
Description: Allocreadium sp. k KV-2018 partial large subunit ribosomal RNA
Rfam family: Eukaryotic large subunit ribosomal RNA
Source: RNAcentral
UCGAUUCGAGCGUGAUUACCCGCUGAACUUAAGCAUAUCACUAAGCGGAGGAAAAGAAACUAACAAGGAUUCCCUCAGUAACCGCGAGUGAACAGGGAUCAGCCCAGCACCGAAGCCUGUGGUCAUUUGGCCAUUAGGCAAUGUGGUGUUUAGGUCGUUCCGCAGAGACACUGCUCCUCUCUAAGUCCAUCAAUGAGUACGGUUGUACUAACAUGGCCCAAGGAGGGUGAAAGGCCCGUAAGAGUGGAGUUCUGGUAUGACAGUGUCUCUCUGGAUUGACCUUGGAGUCGGGUUGUUUGGGAAUGCAGCCCAAAGCGGGUGGUAAACUCCAUCCAAGGCUAAAUACAAGCACGAGUCCGAUAGCGAACAAGUACCGUGAGGGAAAGUUGAAAAGUACUUUGAAGAGAGAGUAAACAGUGCGUGAAACCGCUUAGAGGUAAACGGGUGGAGUUGAACUGCAAUCUCUGAGAAUUCAGCUGGGGAAUUUUGCUUGAGCUUGGUCAAUUGGGCAGGACCUCGAGGUAUGCUUACUUGCAUGUUCUGGCCUUCGGGCUGGGAUGCGCGUUGCUCUUAUCAAGGGCUGCGCGCCUCGGGUGUUCGGCUGGCUCAUUCGCCAGUGCACUUUCUUGGAGUGAUCACCACGACCGGCGCUGCUGCUUCGCUGUUAUAGUUAAAUCGGACAUUCUUCGUCCUUGUGGCGUUGGGUGGUCGACACGGCAGGUAACUGGGGACAUGCUUCGGCUUGUUGCCCGGUGUAUGCUGGCUUUAACGGGUUCUAUGCAGUGUGUCGGAGACGGCGGUCUGUGGUGUGUGCAUGCGUGCCUAUCUGUUGGCAUAUUCUGGUUUGGUAGCUGUGUGCUUGUUCAAGCAAGCCCAGUUAUAGCUGGAGUGUGUCAGUGGGUGGUUGCGUGUGUGACACUAUUCAGGGCCAACAGUCUGUGGUGUUGUGGUAGACUAUCCACCUGACCCGUCUUGAAACACGGACCAAGGAGAGUAACAUGUGCGCGAGUCAAUGGGCGUAACGAAACCCAAAGGCGCAGUGAAAGUAAAGGUUUGGCUUGUCCAGACUAAGGUGAGAUCUUGUCGUUAUUCAUGCGCGGUACCACCAAGCUUGGAGCGGCAGGCGCAUCACCAGCCCGUCCCAUGACGUGGUCACAUUCUUCGGAUUGUGCGCCGUCGGGGCGGUGCAUGAGCGUACAUGUUGAGACCCGAAAGAUGGUGAACUAUGCUUGCGCAGGUUGAAGCCAGAGGAAACUCUGGUGGAGGACCGCAGCGAUUCUGACGUGCAAAUCGAUCGUCAAACGUGAGUAUAGGGGCGAAAGACUAAUCGAACCAUCUAGUAGCUGGUUCCCUCCGAAGUUUCCCUCAGGAUAGCAG